Molecule: ribosomal RNA, 315 nt
Filed under: uncultured eukaryote
Lineage: Eukaryota
Description: partial 18S ribosomal RNA
Rfam family: Eukaryotic small subunit ribosomal RNA
Source: RNAcentral
CCCUUAGAUGCUCUGGGCCGCACGCGCGCUACACUGGUCGAUGCAACGAGUUUCUUUCCUUGGCCGACAGGCCUGGGCAAUCUUUGAACGCCGGUCGUGAUGGGGAUAGAUCCUUGCAAUUUUUGAUCUUCAACGAGGAAUUCCUAGUAAAUGCGAGUCAUCAUCUCGCGUUGAUUACGUCCCUGCCCUUUGUACACACCGCCCGUCGCACCUACCGAUUGAAUGGUCCGGUGAAGCCUCGGGAUUGCGAAUGCUUCGUGCGGACGCGAGAACUUGGCUAAACCUUACCAUUUAGAGGAAGGUGAAGUCGUAACA